This is a long non-coding RNA of Salvelinus fontinalis (brook trout), 393 nucleotides long. RefSeq lists it as uncharacterized. The record is from RefSeq and is a predicted model, not a curated record. The transcript is spliced from 4 exons. NCBI's taxonomy places the organism in Eukaryota, Metazoa, Chordata, Actinopteri, Salmoniformes, Salmonidae.
GAGGAAGUGACGAAACAUGUAGCCUAUAGGCGGAAGUUAAGAUUUAGCACCAAGUGUUUGAUAGUUGAAGGAAGAUUGGAUUGAAAAUGAAGGUUCGCAAAGUCAAGACGAAAGUAUCUGCUGGCUUCAAGAUGCGGGGACUUAUGCUUCGACCCCUGCAGGUACACGGUGGAGGUGUAAGAGUCUGUCAAUGAGCUGGAACUGGAUGUCAUCAUCGAGCGAGUCUUGGACGCUGUGGAGAAGCAGCCAUUAUGAUUGAGCUGGCUGUGGUGGAGACUGCUGUGCAGGACUCCAGCCAGUCGUGAUGAAACCAUAGAUAACGUCUUCAACAUCAUUGGCGCUUUUGAUGUGCCAAGAUAUAUCUACAGUACAGAGAGGAAGAAGUUUGUACCG